CCCCCCACCAUGAGGGAUAAUGCGCGUUGAUUGGCUUUUCGUCCUAUCGCUCUUGACUGUGACCAAUCAGAGCCACAAGCGGUGACCAGACGGGCCGGGUGGGGGCGGGGCCUCGCCGCUCGGUGCCCAGCGUGGUGGGGCGCUGAGGUACUUCCCGCCCUCACUGCGCCGCAGCAGCUGAUAGUCUGUCCCUUCGCACCUCUUCUCCACCGGGAGAGCCCCCGGGAAAGCCAUUUUUCUUCCCAAAGGGAAACUUAGGCCAGUUUCCCAGAGGGUCUGAUGGCACGAAAAGGCUGAGGAGCCUCAAGGCUGGCCCAGUGCCUCUGAGAAGCGGGUGAAGUCAUGGCCUGUUGCUUUGAUAAGAGGUGCUGUUCUCCUCCUGUUGGCUUCAGGUGACUCAGCAGUAGUAUGUGGCUGACAUUAAAUUAGAGUCACGUUUACGUAACACGUCAUAGUUUCGACGAGCUGUAACCACAGAGCUGAUGGGAGACUGUGGGGGUGUUUUUACCUCAGAAGGUUCUCUGUUGGGGCUGCCCACGCAGCCGAGAAGCAACUGAAGGGACUCUGCUUUCUUUUUGAGCUGCUUAAAACACAAUGGAAUGAGUGCCCAUGUGCAAGCUUUGGUAGCAGAACAGCUUCAGGGGUUGGCCUUCGUGAGAAGAGACCUCCAUCUCCAACAGAGCCAGUGAUCUCUGAAAUACACCUGCUGCAGGAUAAAGAUCGAAAAGAAAUAUCUUCCUGGCAGCACUGCGUAUGGAAGGAAUAAGGAAAGUAACAAGGAGAAAGUUGCGCGCAUUUACAAUUGUAUUGAGUAAAAACUGGAGUUGUAUGGCCAUCGCAACUUCUUGGGAGCCAAAGAUACCUAUGAGGAAACAUGGCGGUGAACUACCCUUUCUUUGAAAAACAGAAGUUAGAUAAAAUGCUGGUCAACUGUGGACUUCCUUUUCAGCAUACUCUUGGUAACAGAGAGAAAAAAAGCUUAAAUUUUGUGUCCUGUGCUAGCACGUGUACUGACUGAAUUCAAAGUCCUGUCUUCUCCUAAGAGCAUACUCGGAGUCAACUGUCCUACAAAUGAGGUCAGGAUUUCCCCUACCACAAACUACUCCUUUUAUCUUCCUUAUUAUGUGCAGUAUCUUCUAGCUAAGAAAACCCCAGAUCCUACUGUCUACUUCUAUUUAACUCUUGCUAGGCC
RNAcentral lists this long non-coding RNA (1192 nucleotides) under Gallus gallus (chicken). Its description in RNAcentral is "lncRNA (ENSGALG00010010213.1)". Lineage: Eukaryota; Metazoa; Chordata; Aves; Galliformes; Phasianidae. The record is from RNAcentral.